GCCCCCGUGGUGUAACGGAUAACACAACGGCCUCCGGAGCCGUCGAUACAGGUUCGAUUCCUGUCGGGGGUACCA
RNAcentral lists this transfer RNA (75 nucleotides) under candidate division GN15 bacterium. RNAcentral describes it as "tRNA-Arg". It matches the Rfam family "tRNA". Rfam says of the family: Transfer RNA (tRNA) molecules are approximately 80 nucleotides in length. Their secondary structure includes four short double-helical elements and three loops (D, anti-codon, and T loops). The record is from RNAcentral.